CCUACGGGAGGCAGCAGUAGGGCAUUUUCGGCAAUGGGGGGAACCCUGACCGAGCAACGCCGCGUGAACGAAGAAGUUAUUCGUAAUGUAAAGUUCUUUUCACAGGGAAGAAAGAGAAAUUUGACGGUACAUGAACAAUAAGCUCCGGCUAACUACGUGCCAGCAGCCGCGGUAAUACGUAGGGGGCGAGCGUUAUCAGAAGUUAUUGGGCGUAAAGGGUGCGUAGAUGGCAUAGAAAGUCGUAUGUAAAAAUUCUGGGCUCAACCCAGUAGGGCAAAAGAGACUGUAAAGCUAGAGUAUGACAGAGGCAAGUGGAACUACGUGUGUAGCGGUAAAAUGCGUAAAUAUAUGUAAGAACACCAGUGGCGAAGGCGGCUUGCUGGGUCGAUACUGACAUUGAGGCACGAAAGCGUGGGGAGCAAACAGGAUUAGAUACCCGAGUAGUC
This 446-nucleotide ribosomal RNA is filed under the name uncultured bacterium. Its description in RNAcentral is "partial 16S ribosomal RNA". It matches the Rfam family "Bacterial small subunit ribosomal RNA", at positions 338 to 795 of the family's 1533-position model. The record is from RNAcentral.